UGGUUUUGGAUGACGAAGAGAGGGAGUACACUUGUCAGCAUCCAUGAAAAGGCCAUGGGUGUUUACGGGAGUGCUCCCUCUCUUUGUCAUUAAACUGCACU
RNAcentral lists this microRNA precursor (101 nucleotides) under Rosa chinensis. RNAcentral's name for it is "sRNA RchiOBHm_Chr6g0282431". It matches the Rfam family "MIR535 microRNA precursor family". The record is from RNAcentral. Lineage: Eukaryota; Viridiplantae; Streptophyta; Magnoliopsida; Rosales; Rosaceae.